Molecule: non-coding RNA, 45 nt
Filed under: Echinostoma caproni
Lineage: Eukaryota; Metazoa; Platyhelminthes; Trematoda; Plagiorchiida; Echinostomatidae
Source: RNAcentral
GCACUGCUGACAAGUCCCGAACAGGACGACACAGCUGUCCAGUGC